AUGGAGAAACCUGGAUAUGAUCCAAUUGAAGGCAUCAAAAGAUUAAGAAAGAAGAGGAAGAAAGGUGGAUCCGGUGACCCUACCUGUCUGCCUCUGGUGACACGCUGUCUUCUCGAAGGUCAGCACCUACACAUAUCUGCACAAGUAGAAAAAUCAGGACAUAUCAUGGUGCCUAAAAUUUCAGAAGAACCAUCAAAGCAAAUACAAAGCCAUAUGAAUGCAGUGAACCAAUUUACUCAGUUUCACAAGAAGGGUCAAUAUAUUGCACAUGAGGAUGCUGAGCAAGUAUGGUGGGAUAUUGGAGCAAAUAAUCGUGGGCAGAAUGAAGAGGGUCAAUAUCUUGCACAAAAGCAUGCUGAUAAAGAGGAUCAACAUAUCAGAGCAAUUAGCAACUUUCAGAAUAAAGAGGGAUUGAGUCAACUUCAUCACGGGGGAAACAACAAUGAGAUACUGCAUGAGCAAGCAUCAUAUGGGCAUCAAUCUUACACAACCCUAAUGCAGCAAAUGACUCUCAUGAGUCAUCUUCAGAGUGAUGGGAUUGCCUAUACAGAGUUUCACUUCACUUCUCCAAGAAGGCAUGGUAUCAGAGAUGCAGGCAUUACGUACAGAAGAUCACUAUCACAGAGCAGAAACUCAUGA
This 639-nucleotide ribosomal RNA is filed under the name Triticum aestivum (bread wheat). RNAcentral's name for it is "partial small subunit ribosomal RNA". The record is from RNAcentral. Lineage: Eukaryota; Viridiplantae; Streptophyta; Magnoliopsida; Poales; Poaceae.